GUGGGGAAUAUUGCACAAUGGGCGCAAGCCUGAUGCAGCGACGCCGCGUGGGGGAUGAAGGCCUUCGGGUUGUAAACUCCUUUCGCUAGGGACGAAGCUUUUUGUGACGGUACCUAGAUAAGAAGCACCGGCUAACUACGUGCCAGCAGCCGCGGUAAUACGUAGGGUGCGAGCGUUGUCCGGAAUUACUGGGCGUAAAGGGCUCGUAGGUGGUUUGUCGCGUCGUCUGUGAAAUUCUGGGGCUUAACUCCGGGCGUGCAGGCGAUACGGGCAUAACUUGAGUGCUGUAGGGGUAACUGGAAUUCCUGGUGUAGCGGUGAAAUGCGCAGAUAUCAGGAGGAACACCGAUGGCGAAGGCAGGUUACUGGGCAGUUACUGACGCUGAGGAGCGAAAGCAUGGGUAGCGAACAGGAUUAGAAACCCUAGUAGUCC
RNAcentral lists this ribosomal RNA (432 nucleotides) under uncultured bacterium. RNAcentral describes it as "bacterial SSU rRNA". It matches the Rfam family "Bacterial small subunit ribosomal RNA", at positions 354 to 796 of the family's 1533-position model. The record is from RNAcentral.